AUCAAAAAGGAUUGGGAUCUUAGUGAAAUAAAGUUACUCUAUUUGUUACUUAUCAAGAAAAUACAAAGUUGCUUAGAAUUUAACUAUCACCAGACUUUGCAUUCUGGCCUUAGUGGAAAAUUGUCAUAUCAUUUUUUUUAAAUUUGAUCCAGGUUGAUGAUUUUCCAAAAUCAUUAAAACAUGCAUAUAGGAAAUCCAGUCUAUUCUGCUUUUCUUUCUUUUCUCCCCCAUUUGGCAAGCCUUGCUGCAUGAUGCAUUGUGUAAUAGAUUUUUUUUAAUGCAAAGCUGACAUUUGCACAGCAUGAGUACAAGCUAUGCCAUUUUCCUUGCCUUGUCCCAGAGGACAAGAGAUUGCUAUGUGCUAUUCCAAUCAGGACCAUGCAUUAAAAAUAAGUGUCCUCCCCAAGAUCAAAAAUAAGAAAAGAGAAACUGAAAAAAAAAACCCGCAGAGACAAAUUCCUAUUUGAUCUAUUUGAGGCAGACUGUUAUACUCAGGGUCUGGUAUUUCAAAGCAGGGGCCUUCCUAAGAGAGGGCAAACCAGCUAAACACUUGACUGGCUGUCUCCUGGAUCAGAGUUGAGAGAACCUGGGCUCGUUACCAGAUUCUAUCUUAUAUCCAAUCUCAGAACAAGCUGGAUAGAAUUAGGAAAGGGCUGCCACUGGCUUGCCAGCAGCCAGAAUCAUGACUAUGUCAGCAAAUGUCCUUAGCUAUCUCCAGCAGUUAUUAGAACACACUCUUACCCACCUUCAGGACAAUUGCCGGCGAGUUGCAGUAGAGAGCAGGUUGUUAAUUUUGGUAAGAGCUUAUUUCUCAGCCUGUAAAAGUAUCUAGCCCAAUGUUGAAGGGUAUCACAUGAUCAGUGUACACUAGCUGGAGAACUGAAUCUUUCAACAUGUCUUGAAAAGUGAAUGUGUUUAUAAUCUAAGACUCUAGGCUAACUCCAAUGCAAUUAGCCAAAGUUAGGGGGGUUUAAUUUACAAAAGAAAAUCACAUAUUUAUACCCAGAGCAUCUGAAUAAAAGUCCUAUGAGAUAAGUAGGCAAAAAUGCUGUUACUGGCAGAUGUUUGGCAGACAGUUUUAAAGGUAAAUGAAAUCAUAAGAGGUUAAAUCUGGCUUGUCCAGAACUUUUGAUGCUAGGAAAGAAUUUGGAGCUUUGACAAUAAUGAGAUAGAAAAAUAAGAUCAUAAAAACGAACAUAUAAAUUACAAACUUGUUCAGAGUGUUAGCUCCUCUCAUCUCUGUUAUCUGCCCAGAGGACUAUGAACCCCAUUGGAUAAUAAUGCUAGAAAGGAUGGUAGAUAUGUCCUGGUUGUAAGCAUGGUGUUGAACAUCCGAGCAAGGGCUGCAUUAUCUAGCUGCUUAUAAAACCAUGUAGUUUGGGAUGGUUUAUAAAAACUUUUCAAUGUUUCGAUACAGUUUCAUCCUUUCUUCAAGGUCAAAAAUUAUCAAUUACUCCACAUGUGAGCUUUAGUGGUAUGGCUUAAAUAGAAAUAGUGACAUCAGUUCCAUCCACUGUGUGUGCUAAAGCAUAUGUUGGAUGCUUUGUGGGCCAUCAAUGAGAAACACUGCAGAUUGAACGCACAGCUAGUGUGCUAGGCUCUUCUGCUACACUACCAACCCAACUUCUCAUUGCCAAAUAAAUGAACUGGAUAUGCCAUUUAUUAUCCCAUUGUUUAAAUCCUUCAAAGUUUAAAGGGAAAAGAAUUAUUAUUUUGCAAAUGUUGUAAGUGAGGGGUGGGGGCAGUCAGGGGCCAAGGUCAUCCAGUGCUUCCAUGGCAGAGCUCAGCAGUGAAGGAGGGGUUCCGUCUUGUUUCUUAGUACAUGCUACACAGUCAUUACAUAUCUGGAAGAGAAAGCUAUGGCUUUCAAAGUAUUUAGUAAAUUAAAACAAAAUCCACAUGGGAUAAUUGAGAACGUCUAGAGUAAUAGUCUCCAUUUGUGACUUCUAAAUAACAAUAGGAUGGAAUCAUGAACACUUCCGCCUCUUUGGGUUAAUUACUGUAAGGUUUGGGAUUCAAAGCACUUCACAUUUCUGUCUUCUUGGUAGUUUCAAAACAGAUGGUGUUAUGGUGGGAUUUCUCCCCAGCUCCUGCAGAAGAGACCAUUAUUGAGAUGAUCGGUACUUCUUUGGCCUCUCUCUUAAAGAGCUUGUUCUUUUAAGCCCUCGAUAGUAACUCGCUUUGUGAUUUUUAGCAGUAUUUCACCCAAACUUAUGCUCAUUAAACUGUUUGUCAAGAAUGAAAACCAGAAAGUUCCCUGAAGAAAAAAAAGCCAGUUUGAAAAACAAACCAUAACAUGCAUUCUUUCCAUGUGAUAAUAAAUAUUACACAUAUUAUUGAAAUUCUAGACCAUAUGUAUGAAUGUAUCUUUCAGUGUCUUGGGGGAAAAUGUCCACAUAUCCUCCCUCUAACAAUGUAGGUGGGGGAAGGGAAUUUCAGAAAUCCUUCCUUUUUUUGUUUUUGUUUUUUACAAUUAAGUAGAGGUUAAUUGAAAGGUGUUUUAUUUAUGUCAGCC
RNAcentral lists this long non-coding RNA (2515 nucleotides) under Mus musculus (house mouse). RNAcentral describes it as "long non-coding RNA chr18:52778616-52781131". The record is from RNAcentral. Lineage: Eukaryota; Metazoa; Chordata; Mammalia; Rodentia; Muridae.